This 3512-nucleotide unclassified non-coding RNA is filed under the name Leishmania donovani. RNAcentral describes it as "gene:LdHU3.09.0770(CDS-product:surface_antigen-li ke_protein)". The record is from RNAcentral. Lineage: Eukaryota; Euglenozoa; Kinetoplastea; Trypanosomatida; Trypanosomatidae.
ACGUUCUUGAUUCUCUGUUACCUCGACUCUACAUCACAUUUCUCACACUCUCUCCUUCCUGUGUGCGUGGAACUCUCCUCAUUUCUGACACGUCUUCGCUUGGUACCCUGAACGAGACACACAAACACGUCCGAACACAUCUGUCGACUUGUUCAUGUGCUCCUCUGCCUCUCUCACUCCCCGUAAUCACCAUCUCAUCGCCUUGUGUGUGUGUGCGUGCGUCGUCUAGCCGUUGCUGUCCGUUCGAAGGAGCACAAACGGGCAUUUUCGUGUAUCAUCACGGCUCGGUACCCGAACCCGACCACCAUCACCACCGCCACCGCCCCUGCCUUCUUCCGCCUCGCUGCGCAUGGGUGCGUGUCAGUGUUACCCGUAGCUCUCUCUCUCUCCACCUGCUUCUUCUUCAUCGGGCCUACGACGCAUUAUUAUUAUUAAGACGAGAGUGCGAAAAAGGAAAGCGUCACAUCGUCGGUACAUUGAUAUCCGGUGCAGCAUACCACAUCUAUAUAUAUAGAGAUACAUAAGAUACGUAGUAAUAUAUAUAUAUAUACUUACAAAAGAGUUUCAUUUGUAUUUUUUUUCUCUUUUCUACGUAUCCAUUCGGCGCAACGCCCCCCCCCACUCCUCCUCCUCCUCCUCCUCCUCCUCCUCCUCCUCCUCCUCCUCCCCCUCCUCCUCCCCCUCCUCCUCGCCCAAUCCUCUUUGCGCACGGCUUUUGCUGGAGCGUUUGUGCGUUUCGCGUGUGUGUGUGUGUGUCUUGGGGGAAGGGCUCUUGGUCUCCGUUGUUGCUGGUGUGUCUCUGCGUGCGUCCAUCCAUCCAUCCCCUCACCCUCACCCUCACCUUACCCCCUAUUCUGUUUGUUCGCUCUCCCAUCUAUCUCUUACAUUUUCCAUCUGGUUUCUUCCUUUUCCCCCUUCCGUCCCCCUCUCUCCCCUUUCUUACUCCCUUUCUCUGUGUGUGUGUGUGUGUGCGACGCGCGCACAUCUUAUCCUUUUUGUGUCAUUGUACUUUAUUACGUCUUUGUGCUGAUCUUAUCACCCCACUGUGUGCCGGCGGCGUCGUCCUCUCGCCUCGUCGUCCUGCUGCCGUUGCCGCUCACCUUCGGCUCUGCUGCGCUUUCUUUCACACGUCUGCAUGCGUGCGUUUGUUCCCGAACCUCCUGCUCGGUCGUUUCCCCUCAGAGAGGAAUAGACCCACACAUACAUCUAUAUAGAGGGAAAGGUUGAGAAGGCCACCACCUACCACCACCGUCCUCCUCGCCUUUCGAAGUGAUCGCUGUUUCGCUGGUACCCCCACCCCACCCCCUCCCUCGUCUUCUAUAAACGAAAGAAGGUGAAGACAGGGAAGCUUAUCGAAAUCAUAGGCAUGGCCCAGCAAGCUCGUCGUCUGAGCAUGGCCGCGCUGAUGGCCUUUGUCGUGUACGUCUUGCUCCUCGCCGGUGGCGUCACGCGUGCGGCUCUCACGGCAGCGCAAAACUCCAUCACCGCCGAGUUUCUGCGGUCCUUCGCGGUCUCGAUACCUGGCCUGGCGAGUGUGUGGACAGGGGAUGAUUGGUGCACUUGGCCGUACGUCAGCUGCAAUGCCGACACGAACAUCACAGUUAUCAUCGACAAUGCUGGGUUCACCGGCAGCCUUCCAGAACUGAAUGUGGCGGGCGACAGCGCCAAUAUCGCGGUCACUGAGAUUUCCUUGACGAACAUGGACAUCGGGGGCGGGUUCAAGAACAGCUGGGGCGGCCUCAAGAAGGUGCGGGUUCUCAACUUCACGAACACCAACCUGUUUGGUACCAUUCCCGCGAGCUGGAACGCGAUGCGCUCGCUGCAGACGGUCAUCCUGAAAAAUUCCAGCGCGUGCGGCAGCCUGCCGAGGUGGACGCUGACAUCGCUGAAGAACAUUGACGUGUCGAACAACCUGCUGCGCGGUUCGAUGCCGGACACGCUGGGCUACAUCGCCGGCCUGCAGAAUGUCAGCCUCGUGGGCAACAACUUCUGCGGCUGCAGCCCGCCGUCCUGGGUGUCCCGGGUACUCACCAGCGCACUCUUCCAGGCGAUGGGCUCAGCACCCUACAAGCCUAACUGCAGGGCCCCCAUCAACUGCGGCUCCGAAGGUGCCAAGUGCUCCCGCGACCCUCCACAGUACCGCGACGCCGCCGCCGCGCCAUUACGUGUGGUGGUGGCCGUGUUGACUCUGGUCCUAGCUCUCGUGUGCAACUUUUCCGUGUAGGCGAACGCACCGCGACAACGAUAGCGCCGGGCAUUUUCCUCCUUCCCUCCUCCCCUUCUUCCACAUCACCAACCCCCUUCGCCCGCACCCUCACCGCAAUGCUGCGUGCAGAAAGCCCUCGCCCUGUCUGGGGGAGGGGGGGAGGCACAUGGAUGAAGACGGAGAGAACAUUGCGAACAGAAAAAGUGCAGAUGGCUGAGAGUGCCAACUGGUAGGGCUCUCACACACACACACACACAUACCAAACAAAAGACAUUCCUACCUCCUUUUCCCUUUUUUCUAUUAUUAUUAUUUUAUCUCGCUUCCUUUGUUGUGGCCAUUCUCAUCCUCCUUCCUCCCACCACCACCACCUUCUUCGAUUGAGUGCGCAUCCGUUUCCGCGCGUGUUCCUCUAUGUCUCUCCUCCCCCUCUCUCAAUUCCUCGCGGACGUUUUUCUUUUCACCGCCCCCUCCUUGCUAUCGUUUAUUCCCCAUUGUUUAUGGUCUGUCUCUGUGUGUGUGCGUGUAGCUGUCCUUCCUAUCUUGUUGUUUGUUGCUAGCGCGGCUCUGGCUGUUCCUGCGCGCCUGUCCUUUUAUUGUGUGUGUGGGGGAGGGCGAGGGGCUGACAUCCUCUUGCUUGUGAUCAUUGUCCUUCGUACUCGUUUUGUUUUUCCUUUCUUCAGUCUUGUGUGUGUGUGUGUGUGUGGCUGUGUGCUCUGUCCUUUUUUCUUUCGGUAGAGGGGCGGCGUACGGCGAGCGUGAGCUUGCGGUGCGCUGAAGAGGGUGCAGGGGUGCGAUCCGAGCCCCCUGUCGCUGACGCGCGCUGGGUGGUCCAUGCGUACACGCACUCUCCACUCACGCAUACCUACACACUGAUGAGCGCAGCGACUAGCAACGCACACAUAUACCGAGAGAGAGAGAGAUAAGGACGCCUACACACGCACCUUCGCCUUGUUUCCCCGGCGUCUUCUAACGGCCGACACCCCCUAACGCCCAAACAAUCGUAAAUACAUCCUUGUGCAGCACUGUGGAGGGCAUAACGAUGACGAUGUAGGUGUGUCGUCCGCGCGUAUCUCUGUGUGCCGCCCCCUAUGCCGGCAUUAUGUGUCGUCGUCGUCUUGUUACUUCUUCCUUCCGCUUCUUUCCCGACUCCUCCUCCUCUUGGUCCUUCCCCCCCCAUCCCUCCUUUUUCCUUCAUGUCUACCUGUAACACAGACACGUGCGCUGAACCGCGUCCCCUGCCCCACCCACUCGCCCGCGCAUGUUCACGCAUAGGGAAGCUGCGGUGUGGAUGAGCCGUAGAAUUCAG